This 301-nucleotide ribosomal RNA is filed under the name uncultured bacterium. RNAcentral's name for it is "partial 16S ribosomal RNA". It matches the Rfam family "Bacterial small subunit ribosomal RNA", at positions 509 to 807 of the family's 1533-position model. The record is from RNAcentral.
CAGCCGCCGCGGUAAUACGAAGGGUGCAAGCGUUAAUCGGAAUUACUGGGCGUAAAGCGUGCGUAGGCGGUGAGUUAAGUCUGCUGUGAAAUCCCCGGGCUCAACCUGGGAAUGGCAGUGGAUACUGGCUCGCUAGAGUGUGUCAGAGGAUGGUGGAAUUCCCGGUGUAGCGGUGAAAUGCGUAGAGAUCGGGAGGAACAUCAGUGGCGAAGGCGACUAUCUGGGCCAACACUGACACUGAGGCACGAAAGCGUGGGGAGCAAACAGGAUUAGAUACCCCCGUAGUCCCUGUCUCUUAUAC